Molecule: small nucleolar RNA, 72 nt
Organism: Caenorhabditis elegans
Lineage: Eukaryota; Metazoa; Nematoda; Chromadorea; Rhabditida; Rhabditidae
Source: Ensembl
UGUCUAAAGGCGCGGCGCAACAUUUUUAAACUUUCCGAUGAUUUGUGAUUACUAAAAGGCGAAUCUGAGGCG